CUGCGAGUGAAGAGGGAAGAGCUCAUCAUUGGAAUCUGGCAGUGUUUCACUGUCCGAGUUGUAGAUGAGGAGUAGUCCGUCUGGACUGCAUGGCGUCCAAGUACAAUAGGCCGUCAGUGGGACAUCAUAGAGGGUGACAAUCCCGUCCUUGACGCCAAUGUGCAAGUCUAUUACGAUGGCUAUCUCAGAGAGUCGAGCAGUUUGGGAUUUGCUGCUUAAACAUGGGAGGUAGAUUCCUUCUAAAGCUAAAUACAGGCGAGAGACCGAUAGAGAACAAGUACCGCAAGGGAAAGAUGAAAUAGCACUCUGUGAAGGGAGUCAAAAGGCGUGAAAUUGUUGCGAGAGAAGCGAUUCAAGUCAGCGUAGCUAGGCCCAUCAAGCGUCUUCGCUUUGGACUAGCUUUGCCAGCGGUCUUGUCCCUUAAAGAGACUUGACUUGUAAUAUGUCCAGCCUGGCGUGCACAGGCAGCCCCUUCUGGGGGCCAGUGACAUGGCUGGUGGAAUGGCUUGCAAUCGACCCGUCUUGAAACACGGACCAAGGAGUCUAACAUGUAUGCGAGUAUAAGGGUGGCAAACCCGUAUGCGCAAUGAAAGUGAUUUUCGGUGAUUGAGAAUGGCCUGAUGACCAGACAAGCAAUAUAUGUCCCUCGUACGGCCAUUGCCCAAGUUCCGUGGUAGAUCCCACGAACAUGGAGUUGGAGCAUACAUGCUAGGACCCGAAAGAUGGUGAACUAUGCCUGGACAAAGCGAAGCCAAAGGAAACUCUGGUGGAGGCUUGUAGCGAUUCUGACGUGCAAAUCGAUCGUCUGAUCUGGGUAUAGGGGCGAAAGACUAAU
RNAcentral lists this ribosomal RNA (835 nucleotides) under Cantharellus cibarius (golden chanterelle). RNAcentral's name for it is "LSU rRNA". It matches the Rfam family "Eukaryotic large subunit ribosomal RNA", at positions 87 to 935 of the family's 3401-position model. Lineage: Eukaryota; Fungi; Basidiomycota; Agaricomycetes; Cantharellales; Hydnaceae. The record is from RNAcentral.